Molecule: ribosomal RNA, 253 nt
Filed under: uncultured bacterium
Lineage: Bacteria
Description: partial 16S ribosomal RNA
Rfam family: Bacterial small subunit ribosomal RNA
Source: RNAcentral
UACGUAGGCAGCAAGCGUUGUUCGGAGUUACUGGGCGUAAAGAGUGUGUAGGCGGUCCUUUAAGUUCGGUGUGAAAUCUCCCGGCUCAACUGGGAGGGUGCGCCGGAAACUGGGGGGCUUGAGUGUGGGAGAGGAAAGCGGAAUUCCUGGUGUAGCGGUGAAAUGCGUAGAUAUCAGGAGGAACACCUGUGGUGUAGACAGCUUUCUGGACCACGACUGACGCUGAGACGCGAAAGCGUGGGGAGCAAACAGG